This 2020-nucleotide ribosomal RNA is filed under the name Streptococcus agalactiae. RNAcentral's name for it is "partial 23S ribosomal RNA". It matches the Rfam family "Bacterial large subunit ribosomal RNA", at positions 1 to 2040 of the family's 2925-position model. Lineage: Bacteria; Bacillati; Bacillota; Bacilli; Lactobacillales; Streptococcaceae. The record is from RNAcentral.
UAAGGUUAAGUUAAUAAGGGCGCACGGUGGAUGCCUUGGCACUAGAAGCCGAAGAAGGACGUGACUAACGACGAAAUGCUUUGGGGAGCUGUAAGUAAGCGCUGAUCCAGAGAUGUCCGAAUGGGGGAACCCACUAGUUAAUGACUAGUAUCCAUAUCUGUUAAGGAUAUGAGAAGGAAGACGCAGUGAACUGAAACAUCUAAGUAGCUGCAGGAAGAGAAAGCAAAAGCGAUUGCCUUAGUAGCGGCGAGCGAAACGGCAGGAGGGCAAACCGAAGUGUUUACACUUCGGGGUUGUAGGACUGCGAUAUAGGAUUAAUCAUUAUAGAAGAAUUACCUGGGAAGGUAAGCCAAAGAGAGUAACAGCCUCGUAUUUAAAAUGAUAGAUUAACCUUAGCAGUAUCCUGAGUACGGCGAGACACGCGAAAUCUCGUCGGAAUCUGGGAGGACCAUCUCCCAACCCUAAAUACUCUCUAGUGACCGAUAGUGAACCAGUACCGUGAGGGAAAGGUGAAAAGCACCCCGGGAGGGGAGUGAAAUAGAACCUGAAACCGUGUGCCUACAACAAGUUCGAGCCCGUUAAUGGGUGAGAGCGUGCCUUUUGUAGAAUGAACCGGCGAGUUACGAUAUGAUGCGAGGUUAAGUUGAAGAGACGGAGCCGUAGGGAAACCGAGUCUUAAUAGGGCGUCAUAGUAUCAUGUUGUAGACCCGAAACCAUGUGACCUACCCAUGAGCAGGUUGAAGGUGAGGUAAAACUCACUGGAGGACCGAACCAGGGCACGUUGAAAAGUGCUUGGAUGACUUGUGGGUAGCGGAGAAAUUCCAAACGAACUUGGAGAUAGCUGGUUCUCUCCGAAAUAGCUUUAGGGCUAGCGUCGAUGUUAAGUCUCUUGGAGGUAGAGCACUGUUUGGGUGAGGGGUCCAUCCCGGAUUACCAAUCUCAGAUAAACUCCGAAUGCCAACGAGAUAUAAUCGGCAGUCAGACUGCGAGUGCUAAGAUCCGUAGUCGAAAGGGAAACAGCCCAGACCACCAGCUAAGGUCCCAAAAUAUAUGUUAAGUGGAAAAGGAUGUGGGGUUGCACAGACAACUAGGAUGUUAGCUUAGAAGCAGCUAUUCAUUCAAAGAGUGCGUAAUAGCUCACUAGUCGAGUGACCCUGCGCCGAAAAUGUACCGGGGCUAAAACAUAUUACCGAAGCUGUGGAUGACACAAAAGUGUCAUGGUAGGAGAGCGUUCUAUGUGUGAAGAAGGUGUACCGUGAGGAGCGCUGGAACGCAUAGAAGUGAGAAUGCCGGUAUGAGUAGCGCAAGACAGGUGAGAAUCCUGUCCACCGUAAGACUAAGGUUUCCAGGGGAAGGCUCGUCCGCCCUGGGUUAGUCGGGACCUAAGGAGAGACCGAAAGGUGUAUCCGAUGGACAACAGGUUGAUAUUCCUGUACUAGAGUAUAUAGUGAUGGAGGGACGCAGUAGGCUAACUAAACCAGACGAUUGGAAGUGUCUGGUCAAACAGUGAGGUGUGAUAUGAGUCAAAUGCUUAUAUCUUUAACAUUGAGCUGUGACGAGGAGCGAAGUUUAGUAGCGAAGUUAGUGAUGUCACACUGCCAAGAAAAGCUUCUAGCGAUACAUAUACUCUACCCGUACCGCAAACCGACACAGGUAGUCGAGGCGAGUAGCCUCAGGUGAGCGAGAGAACUCUCGUUAAGGAACUCGGCAAAAUGGCCCCGUAACUUCGGGAGAAGGGGCGCUGAUUUUAGAUCAGCCGCAGUGAAUAGGCCCAAGCAACUGUUUAUCAAAAACACAGCUCUCUGCUAAAUCGUAAGAUGAUGUAUAGGGGGUGACGCCUGCCCGGUGCUGGAAGGUUAAGAGGAGUGCUUAGCGUAAGCGAAGGUAUGAAUUGAAGCCCCAGUAAACGGCGGCCGUAACUAUAACGGUCCUAAGGUAGCGAAAUUCCUUGUCGGGUAAGUUCCGACCCGCACGAAAGGCGUAAUGAUUUGGGCACUGUCUCAACGAGAGACUCGGUGAA